GGGGAAUAUUGCACAAUGGGCGGAAGCCUGAUGCAGCGACGCCGCGUGGGGGAUGACGGCCUUUGGGUUGUAAACCUCUUUCGCUAGGGACGAAGCUUUUGUGACGGUACCUAGAUAAGAAGCACCGGCUAACUACGUGCCAGCAGCCGCGGUAAUACGUAGGGUGCGAGCGUUGUCCGGAAUUACUGGGCGUAAAGAGCUCGUAGGUGGUUUGUCGCGUCGUCUGUGAAAUUCCGGGGCUUAACUUCGGGCGUGCAGGCGAUACGGGCAAUACUUGAGUGCUGUAGGGGAGACUGGAAUUCCUGGUGUAGCGGUGGAAUGCGCAGAUAUCAGGAGGAACACCGAUGGCGAAGGCAGGUCUCUGGGCAGUAACUGACGCUGAGGAGCGAAAGCAUGGGUAGCGAAC
Molecule: ribosomal RNA, 406 nt
Filed under: uncultured bacterium
Lineage: Bacteria
Description: bacterial SSU rRNA
Rfam family: Bacterial small subunit ribosomal RNA
Source: RNAcentral